GGAAACACCAGCCCUGCAGCUUGCGCGCCCACUACGCCUGCCACUACAGGGGACGUGAGAUCAACAAUAGGAUCUGUCCAAAAAGCUUUCCAAUGUUCCAUAAGAGCCGCUGCUUCCGACUGGUCAACGAAACCAUGACAUUUGUCCAGGCGGAGGUGGAGUGCGCCCGCUCCACGGACGGCAAAAGCCGGCUGGUGCGGCCCCAUGUCCGACUCAGCAUGCUGUGGUACCUGGCCAACAACGUGACCAAGGGCGCCUGGGUUGGAGCC
This is a long non-coding RNA of Pollicipes pollicipes, 269 nucleotides long. RefSeq lists it as uncharacterized. The transcript is spliced from 3 exons. Lineage: Eukaryota; Metazoa; Arthropoda; Thecostraca; Pollicipedomorpha; Pollicipedidae. The record is from RefSeq and is a predicted model, not a curated record.